Molecule: transfer RNA, 73 nt
Filed under: Canis lupus familiaris (dog)
Lineage: Eukaryota; Metazoa; Chordata; Mammalia; Carnivora; Canidae
Also listed under: 1 other name
Rfam family: tRNA
About the family: Transfer RNA (tRNA) molecules are approximately 80 nucleotides in length. Their secondary structure includes four short double-helical elements and three loops (D, anti-codon, and T loops).
Source: Rfam by way of RNAcentral
GCCCGGCUAGCUCAGCUGGUAGGGCACGUGACUUUUAAACGUGGGGUCCUGAGUUCAGACCUCACGUUGGGCC